AAUUAUAUCAAUAUAAUAAUUUAUUUUUAUAUACAGUACUGAUCUUCCUCUAAAAAAAUCAUAGCCUACUUACAAUAUGACAAGAAGUAGAAAAAAUAAGAUUAAACCAGGUGAAAAGUCAGAACACCUACUCAAAUACCCUACUUUUGCUACAGUUAGGUCUAAAGUUCCUAGAAGCUAAAGAGGAUUCUUAGGAUCCAUAAGAUAAGUGGAAACCAGCUUCUGAGAAGAAUUUUUCCCAGGACUCCUGGAGAAAAGUCUCUUUUAUGGACUGUAUUACUCAGUACAGGCUAGGGCAUGCUGCAGGGUCAAAAGAUCCCAAAACCUGAGUCACUCGUAUCUACCAAGAUCUGCAUCUCACUCAUGCUCCAUGUCCUCUGUUCCUCAGCUGGGGGUCUGCUCUGUGUCUCCUCCCUCCGGGACUCAGCUGGCAGCAGCCACCAUCUUGGACGCUGCUGAUUGCGGUAGUGGGAGGAGAAGACAGCUCUGGGCAUCUUGCACAGGCAGAAAAUGUGCUCAUCUGGAAAUGUACAUCAUCUCCUUUCAUACUUUACUGGUCUGAAGUGCCAUACGGCCUCACUCAACCACAGGGGGCUGGGUCUUGCAUCCUAUCAUUGCUAGAGGGAGAGCGAACGAGCGAGAUCUCUCAAUCAACACCAAUGGCUGUCAUAGAGAUGGUUGUUAAGGGUGUGAAACAGUCCACGUCACAAUCAACAGCGUGUGAGUCACCUACAUCCACUGCUUGUCAAAUCUCUUGAUGCAGGUGCAAAGCACCAAGCCAAAGCUCGGUCAGGUAAAUACUAUAGUAGGUGGGGCCAGAAUCACAAGCCCCAGGAUGCAGCUUUGUCAGCCUUGAUUAACGUAAAGACAAAAUCCUCCAGGAAUAGGCCUCCAGGGGCCAGAGGGUAAAGGAGGUGAGGGAGGGUGGCUGUCUGACCAAACUGUGCUGAACUGCAAAGCACCUGCCCCAUCUGAAGGCAGCGGGGUAGACGAGGCAGUACUUACUUUGGUUAAGUUCGUUGCCAUAUGAGGCUGUGAACUUUGGCCUACCAGAUAUUUUUUU
Long non-coding RNA from Nomascus leucogenys (northern white-cheeked gibbon), 1063 nucleotides. RefSeq lists it as uncharacterized. The transcript is spliced from 2 exons. The record is from RefSeq and is a predicted model, not a curated record. NCBI's taxonomy places the organism in Eukaryota, Metazoa, Chordata, Mammalia, Primates, Hylobatidae.